RNAcentral lists this ribosomal RNA (489 nucleotides) under uncultured bacterium. RNAcentral's name for it is "partial 16S ribosomal RNA". It matches the Rfam family "Bacterial small subunit ribosomal RNA", at positions 30 to 506 of the family's 1533-position model. The record is from RNAcentral.
AUUGAACGCUGGCGGCAUGCUUUACACAUGCAAGUCGGACGGCAGCACAGAGAAGCUUGCUUCUUGGGUGGCGAGUGGCGAACGGGUGAGUAAUAUAUCGGAACGUACCGAGUAAUGGGGGAUAACUAAUCGAAAGAUUAGCUAAUACCGCAUAUUCUCUGAGGAGGAAAGCAGGGGACCUUCGGGCCUUGCGUUAUUCGAGCGGCCGAUAUCUGAUUAGCUAGUUGGUGGGGUAAAGGCCUACCAAGGCGACGAUCAGUAGCGGGUCUGAGAGGAUGAUCCGCCACACUGGGACUGAGACACGGCCCAGACUCCUACGGGAGGCAGCAGUGGGGAAUUUUGGACAAUGGGCGCAAGCCUGAUCCAGCCAUGCCGCGUGUCUGAAGAAGGCCUUCGGGUUGUAAAGGACUUUUGUCAGGGAAGAAAAGGCUGUUGCUAAUACCGACAGCUGAGGACGGUACCUGAAGAAUAAACACCGGCUAACUACGU